UGAAAAGCAUUGAAAGAGCCAGUAAGCUUUUUACUGAUCAAUGAUACAGGGAUGCCUUGCCGCGACUGGAAGCAAGCACAUUGAUAAAAAGCUGAAGUUUCACUCUGGAGCUGACGUUCGGGACCUUGAUAGAACAAUCAAGUAAAGAACGUUCCGGAUUAUGUCCGUUACAACAAUCAAGUGGGCAAUUAAUUUUGCCAACUAGGGUGGUACCGCGAAAUUUACAAACCUCGUCCCUUUU
This 241-nucleotide non-coding RNA is filed under the name Amphibacillus xylanus. RNAcentral's name for it is "T-box sequence". It matches the Rfam family "T-box leader". Rfam says of the family: Uncharged tRNA acts as the effector for transcription antitermination of genes in the T-box leader family. Lineage: Bacteria; Bacillati; Bacillota; Bacilli; Caryophanales; Bacillaceae. The record is from RNAcentral.